AAACAUAUAUCACAAUCGCGCGGAAACCGGAGAUAAGGGAACUCCGAGUGUCCGUAAAAGGGACUCCGUCUGUUUAAAAAGCAGGCGAAGAAAGGGCCGGGCAAGACCGGUGCCAGCCGCCGCGGUAAUACCGGCGGCUCGAGUGGUGAUCGUGAUUAUUGGGUCUAAAGGGUCCGUAGCCGGUUUGGUCAGUCCUCCGGGAAAUCUGACGGCUCAACCGUCAGGCUUUCGGGGGAUACUGCCAGGCUUGGAACCGGGAGAGGUAAGAGGUACUACAGGGGUAGGAGUGAAAUCUUGUAAUCCCUGUGGGACCCCCUGUGGCGAAGGGGUCUUACCAGAACGGGUUCGACGGUGAGGGACGAAAGCUGGGGGCACGAACCGGUUAAAUACCCGGGUAGUCCCAGCCGAAAACAAUGCUCGCUAGGUGUCAGGCAUGGCGCGCCCGUUUCUGGUGCCGCAGGGAAGCCGUGAAGCGAGCCACUUGGGAAGUACGGCCGCAGGGUUGAAACUUAAAGAAAUUGGGGGGGAAAAGGGCGAAUUCUUUUAAACCUGCGGGACUAGUCCUUUUAGUGGGGGUUAUUUCUGAGCUUGGCGUAAUCAUGGUCAUAGCUGUUUUCCGGA
This 621-nucleotide ribosomal RNA is filed under the name uncultured Methanosarcina sp. Its description in RNAcentral is "bacterial SSU rRNA". It matches the Rfam family "Archaeal small subunit ribosomal RNA", at positions 341 to 975 of the family's 1478-position model. Lineage: Archaea; Methanobacteriati; Methanobacteriota; Methanomicrobia; Methanosarcinales; Methanosarcinaceae. The record is from RNAcentral.